AGAGUUUGAUCCUGGCUCAGAGCGAACGCUGGCGGCAUGCUUAACACAUGCAAGUCGCACGGCCGGGGGUAACCCCGGCAGUGGCGGACGGGUGAGUAACGCGUAGGUAUCUAUCCUUGGGUGGGGGACAACCGUGGGAAACUACGGCUAAUACCGCAUGAUGACCGAGGUCCAAAGGCGCAAGUCGCCCAGGGAGGAGCCUGCGUACGAUUAGCUUGUUGGUGGGGUAAAGGCCUACCAAGGCGACGAUCGUUAGCUGGUCUGAGAGGAUGAUCAGCCACAUUGGGACUGAGACACGGCCCAAACUCCUACGGGAGGCAGCAGUGGGGAAUAUUGGACAAUGGGCGAAAGCCUGAUCCAGCUAAUGCCGCGUGUGUGAAGAAGGUCUUCGGAUUGUAAA
Molecule: ribosomal RNA, 400 nt
Filed under: uncultured bacterium
Lineage: Bacteria
Description: bacterial SSU rRNA
Rfam family: Bacterial small subunit ribosomal RNA
Source: RNAcentral